UGGAAACAUUAGUUACCAGAACUUGUUGUUAUGAAUAGCACAAACCAGCCAGUGGAGGCUAUUUCUGGCUACUGAGUUCCUUCUUUGAAGAUUAGCUUUUUUAAACAAGCAAUUUGUAUGUGUCCUGUAAAUAUCAGAAAAAAUGGCCAGGAACAAAAGGAGACAGUCCCUACUCAGAGGCUCCCGUUGGCGGUGUUCUUUAUCCCUGAGAAAGUGUCAAAGCAUUUUCCCAGGGUGUGUGUGUGUGUGUGUGUGUGUGUAUCUUUUCCCCCCUCUUUUAACAACAACAAAAAAAAUGGGAUCGUUCUCUGCAUUCUCCAAGCAGCUCGUUUUUCUCUCCUGGCUGCUGUCAUUUCUGAUGUCUCAGAGCACAGCCGGAGGGCGGCCCUCCCUUUCUGUCUGCCCAUGUGAUUCCGGGGUAUCGGUGCAUGUGUCUUCACGGCCCGGAUCUCGUGCGAGACUUUUUGGGUUGAGCACAACAGCAGACUCUUCGGUGGGAACAGAAACAAUCACAGAUGUCAUGAAAAGCCAUGUGGCCCCCUUUGGCUGUGUCCUAACAGGGCAUAGAGAGAGAGUGCAAGUGAAGGAGAGGUGCAGAGGGAUGGCCCUGGCAUCACGACCUGAGCCAAAAUCAAGAGUUGGAUGUUCAACUGACUGAGCCACCCAGGAGCCCUAGUGUUUCAACUAUUUUAAACUCUACGAUUUCGUGGCAUUUAGUACAUCAAAGUAGUGUGACCAUCACCACAACCAGCUUCCAGAACAUGUGUAGACAAACCCCAUACCCAUUAGAAGUCGCUCCCCACUCCUCCCAGCCCCAGGCCCCCACGAAUCAGCCUUCUGCCACUGUAGAUUUGCCUAUUGUCAAAAUAACCUACAAAUGGAAUCCUAUGAUAUGGGACCUCGUGUGUCAGUCUUCUUUCAAUGAGCACAAUGUUUUCAAGGGUCACCCACAUUGUAGCGUGGGCCUGUGCUUUCUUCCACUGUGUGCCCGAACGGUAUUCCGUCGUGUGGAUGCACAACAUCUCGUUCACCCACUUAUCAGUUGGUGGACAUUUGGUCAUUUCCACACUCUGACGGGGGGUGAAUAUUGCUGAUAAGAACAUUCCUCUGUACCUUUUUGUUUGAAUGCCUGGUUUCAAUCAUUCUGUGUAUAUAUUUGGGGCCGCAACAGCAGCUGCGGUGUUUUACAUGGCCCCCAGCAACGUGUGAGAGUUUCAGUUUCUUGACGUCCCUCCCAGCCCUUGUUAUUUUCCAUUGAAAAAAAAGAAAA
Neofelis nebulosa (Clouded leopard) is the source of this 1270-nucleotide long non-coding RNA. RefSeq lists it as uncharacterized. The transcript is spliced from 2 exons. The record is from RefSeq and is a predicted model, not a curated record. Lineage: Eukaryota; Metazoa; Chordata; Mammalia; Carnivora; Felidae.